AAUAAACUAAUUUUUUAUUUUUUACCUAUAAUUUUUUACUUUUCGUUUUAUUCAAUUUUUUGCGAUUGAUAUUUUUAUUUUUAUUAGAUGAUAAAUCAUGAAUAUUACUUUACGUGUGACUAAUUUUUUUUAAUUUCCUAAAAAAAUUUUAAAUAAAACGGAUGAUCAAUCGUUGGACACGAAAACCAGAGAAUUAGCUUUUU
RNAcentral lists this microRNA precursor (203 nucleotides) under Oryza brachyantha (malo sina). Its description in RNAcentral is "MIR812 microRNA precursor family". It matches the Rfam family "MIR812 microRNA precursor family". The record is from Rfam by way of RNAcentral. Lineage: Eukaryota; Viridiplantae; Streptophyta; Magnoliopsida; Poales; Poaceae.